AGACGGGGAACUCCACUGUGCUAAUGAUGUUGCGCACGUGCUCAAUCUGCAAUUUAAAAGGAGCCAUUUCGGACAAGGUCUCACAUUCACAUGUGCGGACCUCGGAUGGGAGAAAAAACUCCUGGAAAUCAUCAGCUACCAACUGGAGGCCAUCCUGCACCUCAGAGACUCCAAUGACCUGGAUCUCUUCAGAGACUGGUUUGGCAUCAAGAACCUAUAUUUAAUGGAACAACAUAAAUGUCUUAGGUGUGUGAUGGUCACAUCCAUGUCUAGUUGAAGAUCGGCUAAAGCCUCGUCCCGCCACAAGGACAAGUUAACGCUCUUACCGCCACAAUUGAGGAUUAAAUGUCUUUGCUAGCCAAGGCACACACUCAAUUUUCUUUACAAGCGGUGCUUGUAGGUUACGUAUUCUCCAGAUGAAUACAUCUCUGGUUCAGUCCCAGUGAAAACCUUUGAGGGUGGAACCAGGGCUUCAUCACCGAGCUUUUGGAGCUCUUCGGUAAUUGUUGUGGAUGACCCCUUGAAUAAUUUGGUGUUUGUAUUUACAAACAGACGUUUUCGGCCAGGAAUGGAGGAGAUGGCAUGGUUUUUCAAGACGUAAUGACAGCCCUCCUGAAACUCGUACUUGUUUGCACUUUGGGGGCUUGUAUACAUGCUACUGCCAUCCCAAAGUGCAUACAUGGUGGUAAUGGUUUCUGCCGAAACUUUAAUUUUUCCAUCUGCCACUUCAAAGGCAGUGCCCCGGCGAGAUGUUCUCGUGGAGAUGCACUGCACUCGAAUUCCUUGAGGGCGGUUGUAUGGAUGUCUUCCCCUUGAAGCCAUUCUACAGUACAUUGGACGCCGAUGCAUCAUUUUGAAUUUUAUUUGUACUUUUUUUGUUGAC
Molecule: non-coding RNA, 883 nt
Organism: Paramisgurnus dabryanus
Lineage: Eukaryota; Metazoa; Chordata; Actinopteri; Cypriniformes; Cobitidae
Source: RefSeq, a predicted model, not a curated record